AUGAGCGGCGGCGCCACGGAGGGCCCCGGGGCCGGCGAGGCCGCACCGACCGGCGGCGGCACCAGGAAGCGGGACUCGCUGGGGACGGCGGGCUCGGCGGCGCAGCUCAUCAUCAAGGAUCUUGGAGAAAUUCACUCAAGGCUCCUAGAUCACAGGCCCAUCAUUCAAGGUGAAGCCCGUUAUUUCGUGAAAGAAUUUGAAGAGAAGCGUGGGCUUCGAGAAAUGCGCGUGCUCGAGAACCUCAAGCACAUGACCCAGGAGACCAGUGAGCAGACCCUGCCCCGGUGCCAAGAGGCCAUGGAGCUCAGCCUGCGCCCCCUUCUGCAGACAGUGCAAGCCGCUGCUGCGUCCGCCAGCCGCCUGCAGCAGAGGGAGCGAGACCGGAGACAGAUUCUGAACGACCAUUUAAUAGCUAGUGAGAAGAAGCAGCGAGCCCAGUGGGAGGCGUUCAUGACACAGCAGCGUGGCGAGCAGGCGGCCGUGGACGAGGAGCACAGCCGGGCCCUGGGCAGGCUCAGGGCACAGUACGCACAGAUGGAGAAGGAUCUGGCCAAGUUCUCCACCUUCUAACUCUCGCGUGGCCGGACAAGCUCCCGAGAUGGCCCUGCCUCCCCAGAACCGCCCGCCAGCCCUGCAGCCCCUGCUCCGAGCUUUGCAGCAGACUGUGUGUUCUCUCGUGCAGAAGAAGAAAGCUUCACCGGGCCUGCACCAAGUGCAGGCUAGGUGCGCACACCCUCCCCCAGCUCUCGGGGGCCCGUGGGUGACUCAGAGAGGAGCUGGCAUGCGUCUUCUGGUUGUCACUGCUGCCCUUCCCGUUCCCUGUCUCAGAGGCCGUUGGCAGAGAUGCAGAGAAGUGCUUUCACUCCCUCAUCCCACAUGCAGGGCACGUGGAGGUCCCUGAUCGGGGCUCACACAGCUGUCACGGCGGCCUGCAGCUGGCAGGGAGAUGGUGCGCGGUCCCCACCGGUGGUGGAGCCAGGUGGCGGGUGGACAUGGGUGGCCCCCGGCCCUGCAGGACUCUGGUGAUCCGCAGGGCAGUGCGAAGCCGUGAGCCCCCCGGGCACAGGACACUUGGGCUGGGUUUUGUGUCUAGCACUUAAGUGUCCAGCUUUGAAAACAGGCGUGGGAGGAAAAGCUUGGCAAAAGUAUAUUGACUUUCACCUUCCCCAGAGCCAUCGACUUGGGCUGGUGCCUAACCUCCCGUGUCCAUCUGCUUUGCUGUGGCGGCUGUGUCCGAGAGGCUCCGUCCACGUUGUUCUGGCCACUCAGUGAGGAGGGCCCAGCCCCUGAGGAGCCAGCUGGUGGCACAGCCUCACGCAGGGCUGGCCCCAAGCCCACCCAACGUGUGCCCUGGGUCACCACCGGUGAGCCCCACCGGUCUGCGAGUCCUGUCUCAUGAGCAGGUGUCAGGACAGGGCAGGCACCCCUGUCACUACGGGUCCCCAGAAGUCUGCACUCCACGCUGUGCACAGGCCCCAACUCUGCCCUUCACAUAAACCAAGCAGAAUGAAAUGCAGCAAUUUCAGGAGAUGGAUGGAGAGAGAAUUUGAAGUCUGGGUAAAUCUUCCAGGUAUCUCCUCACCACUGCCCAGCUGGCGCGUGCUGAUGCGGGGGCGCAUGCUGGGUCGCGGCUCGGCUGCCCCAGGCCUUGCGCUGCCUGACUGUCAGAAGUGGGUGAAAGUAACAGAAGAGAUAAGGAUUUGAGAUUUCCUUCAACUGGAUGUUUACCAGCUCCCCGUUGCAACUGCCGCUGGACAGCGCGCCAGCUGUCCUCUCGUCUCGGGGAGGCCCCGAGCUGGGGCCACAGAUCACUGGGGUUUCCUUAACUCUCUCUCCAUGGAUGGAGAAAACCAUACUCCAGAGAUAACCCCACGUGAGGUGGGAGGGGGCCUUCCACGAGGCCUGCUGCACUCUAAGCUGGGAUUCAUAGUUGCGGCCAGCAGGUGUCACCGCAGCAACAGGCUACUUCCCGCUGUCCGGGCAGUCAGAGGUGUGUGUGAGACGAAGGGAUGUGACUGAGCUGAAGCCAGAGGAGGCAGGAGGCAGGAAUCGGAAAAAAUACUUCUAGGAGCCGUUGUUGUGGAUGAGGGGGACAGCACAGCUUCCUGCACGGGAGCCGGGACCACGCACUUGGCCUGCGCCGGCUCGACGGGUCAGCGGAGACUGCCCUGCCCACGGCAGGCGUGGCCGGGCCCCUCGCCCACCCCAGGGUGCCCCGGAGCUCUGGACCGGAUGUGCCACCUGCCCGCCUCGCCCCGAGAUGCCGCCAGAGAACUUGGAGCUUCUGUUCAGAUAAGAAACGUUCAUUUUCUUAGAGAAAUCGGUUUUGUGCAGGUUGUAGGUCAGAGGACCUGGCGUAGGCUGUUGGGGAGCGGGAUCUCCCCUCCACCCCCCUGGACGGAGCAGUCACGCGGAUGUGGGCACUUCUCGGCUUUACCAGCCAAUGUCAUCCUGGGUGCUUUCCACCGUCUUCACUUCACACGCCCACCUGCCGGUGGGUUUGGGAAGGCACAGGGGUGGGCAGCAGACAGUCAAGAUCGUUGGCUGUUAAAGGAAAGGUAGAGCCUCCAGGGAGAGCAGGAGUCAGUCCCGCCAGACCACUCGCUGUGGCAGUGAGCCUGUGGCCCCCACCUUGACGUGGAGGGGGAGUUUGUGAGGUGUCUCCUCCGGUCCCUGACAUAUCUGCACGUCCCCAAGGGGGCCCAAGGGUGCUCGUGGCAAAAAGUAACCCUUGAGAGCUGAAACAUUCCCGUGGGGCUUGACCCUGCACACAGGCCUCUCCGCUGUCCUGAGGGGUGAGGGCGCGCUUGGGUGUCCAGACUCCAGGGAUGAACUGUAAAGCACACAUGUCGGGAUAUACGACUGUGUGGACGCGCUCUCCCUCCUAGGUCCAGGCUGUGUCUGGUGUCCUGGGAGUGGCAGCUGGAGAGCAGGGAGGGUGUGCUGUGGUGACCUCACUUGGGGCCAGGCAGAGCACGAAAUAAAAUGAGAAAAAUGCCAGCUCCUGGAGCGUCUCCUGAGGUGGGUGUUUGGCUGCUGCGUCUCACCUGCUGCUUCAUCGCCUGCCUGUGGCUCCCCAAAGACCCAGGAAGUCGGCAGCACUCCUGGAGACUUGACGUUCCCAACCCAGUCUUGUGCUCUCGUCCGCCUCUUCACACGGUACAGACUGGCUCUUGCUCCUGGUCCUCGGGAAGAGGCCUGUACAGUGUUCGUCUGUGAAGGUGAGAAGCAACAAGCAGCGCAUAUAAGCUGAAUGGUUCCCGAACAGCCUUUGUUGACUGAACAGAAAGCUGCCCUCUGUAGGCAUUGCUAUACGUCAAAAUCUGGGGCCCUCUGUCAGCAUUUAAAAUGCACGUACCGAGGUGUGAAGACGUGUACAUAAGAGAUGUCAGAGCCUUUCACGUAUAAAGAUGCUACGGGAAACACGUUACUGUCCUUCAGCGUGGGGUGGUGAGAUAAGUGAUGGUGUCUUCAAAGGGCAUACAAUGCUGCCUUGAAAAAGGAAGAAGUAGCACUAUAUGUGGCACAACGGCAUGAUUGGACCCUCAAGAGGAGGACCACGCAUACCAAGGUUUGGACAUUGCUGCAGUACCCAGCAGCAGAUGGUACAAAGGACUGCCUUGGAAUGGGUCCUCGGGAGCAAGGGCUGCAUUGGUGCCUGGUUUUACUCAUUCAGUUCUUUGAAAGCUAGUUUAGAAAAAGGAGUUACUUUUUUAAAGCACUACACAUGAUGAGGAAAGGAGGUUAGAAGCUAUUUGGAUUAAAUUUCCUAAAUGAAAGGGGACAAUCAAAAUAAAGGUUUUUUUUUUUUUAAGAUUGAUUUAUUUAUGCACACAAGAGCUGGGGUGUAGGCCAGAGGUGCAGGGGCGAGAGGACUCACCAGAGACAGAGCGGGGAGCAGAACAGGCAGAAGGACCAAAAUACACUGCUGAGGGGAGCAGCGGGAGACAGGCGAGGUCUACUGCACCAUGUGGGCCAGUUCCUUGCCCCGGGAUCGAACUCGUGAUGCAGAGGCUGCGGAUAGCUUCACAGUGCUGAGACUCUAACCCAGGGAGGCCCAAACAGUUUUAUUUUUGCCUCUUUCUCUAGUGUGAUAACAAGUUGGCACCCGAAGGAUCUCAGAAGUGGUAAAAGAAUAAAUCAGAGGAGGUCGCUCUCACCCAGCCUGGAGCUAGUCACGGAACUCACGGCUGCAGGCGGCCCACAUAGUCAGAUGCUGUCUGGCCCCUUGUGUUCAGUCAUAACAUUUGAGGUUGUGCAGGGGGAGAUAAGGACAAUGAGAGUCACAGACGCAGGAUGUCGGGCCUGUGGCCGGGAAGGAAUUCCCCGGCCUCCCUUCUUUUUUGGCGCCUUCCAGGGCCUCGGAACAACAUGACACUCGGAAUGGGGCCACUUUGAAGAGCUGACCGCACUUCCUCUGACCUGGGCGGAGCACUGGGCUGCGGAGCUGUCACCGCUCUGCACCGGGGUGUGGCCCUUUGGCCUGUGGGGUCCCGGACAAGUGUUCUGACCAGGCAUCUCAAAGCAAAAGCAAGUUCCCAUGCGCAGAGGAUGGGAGGAGGUCAGUGUGGGUGACCAGCAGGAGUGGGAUGGGCAGUGGCUACUUACGGAGUGGACGGCACCAGCCACCUGGAGCCUGCAUGGUGUCUGGUCCAUGUUUCUCCCAUGAGGAUAGAGAGGCCUGUUUUUCUAAGUAAAUAGCCCUGAGUUGGAAGCCCAGAACCUAGUUUUUGCACAGCCAAGAGCAACACGGGCACUCGGAAAUUCUACCAGCGAGCCAGAGUUUUAUCUGCUUCCGCAGCCCCUGGCGCGAUUUGUAAGAAGUGCCUCUCCGAUGAGGGAGCGAGUGUGUGGACGCCAGUUGACAGGGCUCAGAAGUACAGUGAAGGAAUCUCUCCUGAAAGCCCCCGCUCCGGAGCAGGCACCCACGUGAGCGGAUGCGGAGGCCCGGGGCAUGCGGGCCGAGUGGAAGCUCCUGGCCUCGGGCACGUGGAGCGCACACGUGCUGCGUGCUCACCUGUGACGAGUCCGAGCACGCCGCAAGUCGCCGGCGGCGGCGGGGUCGCGCCUUUGUGAAGCCUGCGGGCCCAGGACAAGGCCCACGUUGCACAAAAAUUUCACUGCUGGUUUUUAUAAAGGCCUUGGUUUCUUUUGGCCACCCUUUCUUCCCUUUGACCUGCUUUAAUCUUUGCACCGACAGUUUCCCACGGCCGAUGGCCAAGGGCCCUGCUUGCCCACGGGCUGACACCUGGGUACCAAAUUAAUAAAAAGUUCAGGCCCCAUAGAAAAAACCAGAACAAAUUGGAACAGCCCACUUGGAGGAGAAUGGCUGGUGGCCAGUCGAGUGUGACGGUGCUUGGCCGCCUUAGUCCUGGGGAAACGCGGAUGAGCAGAGGGCAGAGUGCAGAGACACCGGAUGACUCUACCUUGAUCCAGAUGUGAGGCCACGGAGGUGUCUGUGGUACGGGUAGGGCAGCAGCUGCCAUAUUCUGGGAAAAGCUGGGCACUGUCCGCUAAAGCUGAACCUAGGUCUGCUCAAGGAGCCAGCAAGCCCAUUCCCAACAGAACAUGUGGCCAUGUGGGCCACACGGCGCGUCCGUGUCUAGGGGAGCAAGGCCUGUCAGCAGCCCAAAAUGCAAAGACUCCAAAUAUUGGCGGGAUAAAUAAAUAGUAUGCACAUCCGAUGGAAUACUCCACACCCCUGCAAAAGGAGCUAGCUCAGCACAUAAAUAAUGUGGGCGCAUCUCAUAAGCGUGAUGUCAGAUGAAACAAGCUAGAUACACGUAAGAGAUUCCGUUUAUGUAAUGUCUAAGGAAAACUGACAUCCUGAGGUGCUUGUCCUGGGAAGGCAGUGAUGUGGCCAGGGCGGCACUCAAGGCAGGGCUUCUGGGGUGCUGGUGAGUUCCUAAUUUUUGACCCCGGUGAAGGUUCCAGAGGGGUAUUCUGUUGGGACAAGUCAUCGAGUUGGACGCGUUAUUUAAAAGAUAAAAUCUUACGGUGAUGUUUAUGCGAAGUAGGGUCGGUCCCUCUCAACUCUGAGCUAAGUGGUAGCCCUGGCAAGUGACUCAGAGGCAGCAUCUGGCCUGUAGGUGCUCCGAGGGUUGGCGUGGCGGAUGCUGUGGACGCCGGCGAUGACACAGCUGGCGUUACUGCACGUGGCCGUGCGAUGACCCCGCCGUCAGGGACAACAGCCAGGACGAGAUGAGGACCGGUCUCGUCUCACGGGGCCAGGCCCUGGACCUCCGCCCGCCGCCCCGCCCUGCACACCACAGCUCGUCCCACAAGGGGUGCUGAGAAGGGGCGUCUCCCUGGAGUCGUCGCCGACACCCUCCCCACGUGCUGUCCCUGCUUCCUCCGGCUUUGAUGUGCCCGAAUUGCCCCCUCUGAUGGCCGCAGGAAGGACCAUUUCCUGCUCCGAGAGGCACCUGGAGACUCACCUGGGUUGAACCUGGGCAUCCGGCUCCUGGGGGUAGGUGUGGCCGGGCAGGUGAGGAGAUGCUAGACGCAUGGAGCAGAGGGCAGCCCCCACCCAGGGCAGAUGAGGGGGGCAGCUCCCUGACCUGGCGCCCGGCUGAGGCCCUGGGCUGAGUGCUCCGGCUCCCCUGGCUGCGUGAGGGUCAGCGAGAGCCACCCUAGCCGCAGCCACCCGGCCACCCGCCUCUGCUGGAGCCGUGAGGGCCCCGGGGCCCUGAGGCCUGAAGCUGAGCCCCUGGGGUUGCCCAUGGCGCGGUGCCCGCACAGGCCAGAGCCACGCGGACGGCGCGGAAGACACGGCGUGACUGCCGGCCCAGCCCCUGCUAGCGCGGGCCCCAGGAGCGCAGCACGCAGCCCCGCCUCAGGCGCCUCAGUGGAACUCAGCCCAGCUGGGGCUCCUCAGAGAUUGCAGACGCCGGGAGGAAGACAGGCACACGGGAGCGUGGGAAGUCCACGUGUCAGCACACGUGCCGCAAGUUGCCUUUUCUAUUCUUCUUGUUCACGGUAUCGAACCCAUUUCUCUUGCUGUUACAGAAGCUCUGAGUGUCUGUUCUAAAGCUUUAUUGUUGCUCAGCCUCCGAUAGACACACGGCAAUAGAGAUAAACUGGAUCCAGGUGUUUUUUAAAAGGAAGCCAGAGGGUGUCCGAGCUAGACUGAGGAGGAGGCAGCGUCGGGACUGGCUGGCGCUCUGACACAGCCCUUGUGGAAAGUUCAGUCACAGACGGAAGGGGAGAGUAAGAGCCUCCGUCACCCCGUCACUCAGACGCUGAGGCGCUCGCCCUCGGCCUGCGGGCAUCUGCUGAACAAUUGCGAAUGCAAGGUUUGCGUCCGGGAACGGCCUCUGCAGCCUGGCCGGCGCCCGGAGGCGCUGGCUCAGCCUCACGCUUGGUGGUGGUUGUUCACGCCACGUACCCGUGCUUGUGGCUGCACGAAAGUCUGCCGGGCCCCAUCCGGAGAGGCUGCGUGGUUUUUACGCCGCAGUGUGUUUCGUCCACUCAGAAACCCUCUGGUGUCCAUGUGCUCCCCGGCGACGCCCAGAGCCGAGACGCUGGUAACCCCGGGCGAGACCCUUCAGAACACAAGGGCCCCGGGGGCCAGUCCCUCGCUGCAGACGUGGAGGGGCUCUGGCCCCGGGGGAGCCCCGGCCGCGGAGGCUUUCCAGGCCGCGGGCCCUUGUUGGACCCUGUAGGAGAAGUAAGAAAGCGUCAGGCUUUUCUGCCCUCCUGCCAUCGGGAUGGAUGAUGGCUCUGCAGAACUGAACGCGUGUCUGAUGGCGGCACCCGGAGUGGGGUGGGGGCAAGCGUAAGUAGGUGCACCUGUGCUGAGAGACGGCGUACGGGGCGGCGUCACGGGGACGCCAGGAGAACCACGAGAGCAGGAGCAGAGGAGGAGGAGGAGCACAAAGGGGAGAACCACAGAAGCAGCAGAGAGAAGGCCGCGAGCCCAGAAAGAGUGAAGACUUGCUGGGGGCUGGGAGGCCUGCAGCCUACCGGCCCCCCGGCCCCCCGGCACCCCUGCCUGCCGUGUACCGGGUAAAUCCCAGGAAAAGCCUGCAAAAGCCACUGAGGGCUCCAGGACUCUCUCCUUCUCUACCCCGUCUGCUCGGGUCAUAGGGAUCCCGCCCUGUGGCCUUCCUGCCUUUACAGCCCCCUGGUGCCAGUGCCAAUUGCUACUAGGGAGACACUCGGAGAGGCACCGUCCAAUGCCAUCACGUGCGGAGGCGCCUGGAGGAGGUUCCAUGGGUUGGAACCAGCAGCUCCCCCACUGCCCCUUCCCCUCCUGACCCCAGGCUCUGAGGCAGGAGGCAGAGGAGACCCCGAGGAAGGCCAGGAGGGGCCUGGUCCCCCUGGAGAGCACGUCUGAGGGGCCCCACCCCCUGGGCUCUGGGCAUCUUGAGACUUGGCCUCCACCGUCUGCCCCAGAGAAGUGCCCAGAAAGUUCCUGAAGCUCUCGGCAGUGGCACUGGGAGAUUGCUGAGACCACCCUUGUGGCCUUGUCACACCUGCAGCCUCUAAUGAAACCAACACAGAGGCCCGAGCCGACCCCCAUAGCAGGGCGUGAGCCGCCUGGAGACCCUCGCACCUCCGCCUGUGGAAACAGAAGCCCAGGCCUGGGCCCGAGCCCCCCUAGACAGACCCCUGCGGGCUCGCGCCCUCCCUGGCGCCCUCUCUGUGACGUCACCUGGUCCCUGAGAGGAAAGAGCGGAUGUCAUGGGGAACGACAAAUCACGCGUUCUCUCAGAAACGCCAGCACAGCAGCUCCAAGGCCAAGCCCGGCCCCGCCCAGCCCGGAGCGGCCAAGGAAAGGGACCAGCAGAGCUGACGCGUGGAAGUUCCUCUUCCUCCAGGAUCAAGCCAUAAAGCAGGUAAACAGCACCUGUCCGGCUUAUCAUAAAGCAGGUAAACAGCACCUGUCCCGCUCGGGGCCUGGGUGGGGGUUGGCCUGGCUCCGUCUUGAGCUCCCUGCAGAGGUGUCGGCCACGCCCCGUCCCUCCCUGCAGCUCUGUGGGCACCCAGCGUUCACCCCACACCCCCGGCCGCGGGGUGCCUGAGCCACCUGGUUGUAGAAUAAAACACCGUGGCUGGGCCUCCCCUGGGGGGCAAGGGGUCCCGCCUGCCCUGAGCGUCCAUCCACGUGGACACACUCGGGGGGCCUCCCUCAUGCACAGCAGCCUCAGCGCGCCCAUCCUGUAGGAAGCACGUGGCGCUGGGUUUGAGGUUCGGCAGAGCGGUCAGGGGAGGAGGCCGGCGGUGGCGACUCACCCAGGCCACUGUGCCCCUCAACUGCAUGUGGGCUGGGGAUACCCGCACCCGCCCACGGGGCAGUCAAGCCAUCGCCUGGCCGGUGUUGGGAGGCAUCGGGAGUCUCUGGGAGGGGAGCUGGUCGCAGGGGCGGGGCC
This is an RNA transcript of Talpa occidentalis (Iberian mole), 9374 nucleotides long. It is a transcript of the gene named biogenesis of lysosomal organelles complex 1 subunit 5, with no coding region annotated. The transcript is spliced from 10 exons. NCBI's taxonomy places the organism in Eukaryota, Metazoa, Chordata, Mammalia, Eulipotyphla, Talpidae. The record is from RefSeq and is a predicted model, not a curated record.